Molecule: transfer RNA, 62 nt
Filed under: Diaphanes sp. FM11
Lineage: Eukaryota; Metazoa; Arthropoda; Insecta; Coleoptera; Lampyridae
Description: tRNA-Ile
Source: RNAcentral
AAUGAUGUGUCUGAAAAAAGAAUUAUUUUGAUAGAAUAAAACAUGCAGAUAUGCCUUCAUUA